Molecule: ribosomal RNA, 259 nt
Filed under: uncultured bacterium
Lineage: Bacteria
Description: partial 16S ribosomal RNA
Rfam family: Bacterial small subunit ribosomal RNA
Source: RNAcentral
UACGUAGGGGGCAAGCGUUAUCCGGAAUCAUUGGGCGUAAAGCGCGUGUAGGCGGUUCCGUAAGUCCGCUCUGAAGCCCAGGGCUCAACCCUGGGAGGCGGGUGGAUACUACGGAACUGGAGUACGGAAGAGGAGAUUGGAAUUCCUGGUGUAGCGGUGAAAUGCGCAGAGUAUCAAGGAGGAAUACCGGCGGCGAAGGCGGCCCUCUGGAUCGUUGCUGACGCUGAGACGCGAAAGCGUGGGAGCAAACAGGAUAGAU